This is a non-coding RNA of Labrus mixtus (cuckoo wrasse), 72 nucleotides long. The record is from the annotation of a RefSeq genome assembly. Lineage: Eukaryota; Metazoa; Chordata; Actinopteri; Labriformes; Labridae.
GGCUUAGUGGUCUAGUGGUAUGAUUCUUGCUUUGGGUGCAAGAGGUCCCGGGUUCAAAUCCCGGCUGAGCCC